This 253-nucleotide ribosomal RNA is filed under the name uncultured bacterium. RNAcentral's name for it is "partial 16S ribosomal RNA". It matches the Rfam family "Bacterial small subunit ribosomal RNA", at positions 524 to 776 of the family's 1533-position model. The record is from RNAcentral.
UACGUAGGGGGCAAGCGUUGUCCGGAUUUAUUGGGCGUAAAGAGCGUGUAGGCGGCCAUGCAGGUCAGCUGUGAAAACUCGAGGCUCAACCUCGAGACGUCGGUUGAAACCGUAUGGCUAGAGUCCGGAAGGGGAGAGUGGAAUUCCCGGUGUAGCGGUGAAAUGCGCAGAUAUCGGGAAGAACACCUAUGGCGAAGGCAGCUCUCUGGGACGGUACUGACGCUGAGACGCGAAAGCGUGGGGAGCGAACAGG